AAAGAUUAAGCCAUGCAUGUCUAAGUACAGGCCGACCCAAGGCGAAACCGCAAAUGGCUCAUUAAAUCAGUCAUGAUUUAUUGGAUGUAGUACACAUUCCUUACUCGGAUAACUGUGGUAAUUCUAGAGCUAAUACGUGCAUUUGAGCUCCGACCCAGUUUUGCAUUUACUGUGAGACGGGGGAAGGGCGCAGUUAUUAGAUUCAAAACCGAGCAGGCUCUCGGGCCUGACUUUCGCUUUUUGAUGACUCUGAAUAACCCAGCCGAGCGCUGAGGCCUUUUAGUGCCGGCGCCGUAUCCUUCGAGUGUCUGACUUAUCAGCUGUCGAUUGUAGGUUAUACGCCUACAGUGGCUGUAACGGGUAACGGGGAAUCAGGGUUCGAUUCCGGAGAGGGAGCCUGAGAAACGGCUACCACAUCUAAGGAAGGCAGCAGGCACGCAAAUUACCCACUCCCGGCACGGGGAGGUAGUGACGAAAAAUAACGAUGCGGGACUCUUCCGAGGCCUCGCAAUCGGAAUGAGUUCACUCUAAAUACUUGGACGAGGAUCCAUUGGAGGGCAAGUCUGGUGCCAGCAGCCGCGGUAAUUCCAGCUCCAAUAGCGUAUAUUAAAGUUGCUGCGGUUAAAAAGCUCGUAGCUGGACUUUAGAUUCGGACCGGCGGCCCAUCCAAGGCGCGCCCUCGCGUCCCGUUUGCUGUUGGGCGGCGGCUCGCACCGGUACUAAGGCAACGUUUAUCGUCAUCGAUUCGUCGAGGUACGAGGACUUCUUAACCGUUAAAAGCCGGUUUGUCCCUCCUCCUAUAGUCCCUCUCUUCGGAGUGGGCAGGGGGAUCAAGGGGCUCUCAGGUGGUUUCGUUCUCUGCCUCAUCCAAGGCGGUCGAUGCUCGUGUUGCUUCCGGAGCGCGGCCAAUGUUCCGACGCGCGGGUAUUUGUCGGGUAAGCGCGCCCGGUGGUUUCACCGCCCGGCUCCGAAUUCUGUUUGAAAGCCGUCGGCUCUCACGGGGUGCUCUUUGCCGGGUGUCCCGCGUGGCCGACACGUUCACUUUGAAUAAAUUAGAGUGCUCAAAGCAGGCGUUAUUGAUAUGCCUGAAUGUCCAUGCAUGGAAUGAUGGAACAGGACCUCGGUUCCGUCCUUUUCUCUCGGUUUUCCCGAAUCCGAGGUAAUGAUUAACGGGAACGGACGGGGGCAUUAGUAUUGCGACGCUAGAGGUGAAAUUCUUGGACCGUCGCAAGACUAACUACUGCGAAAGCAUUUGCCAAGAACGCUUUCAUUAGUCAAGAACGAAAGUUAGAGGAUCGAAGGCGAUCAGAUACCGCCCUAGUUCUAACCUUAAACGAUGCUGACCGGCGAUCCGCUUAAGUCAUUCCCACGACUGAGCGGGCAGCCCCCGGGAAACCAAAGUCUUUGAGUUCCGGGGGAAGUAUGGUUGCAAAGCUGAAACUUAAAGGAAUUGACGGAAGGGCACCACCAGGAGUGGAGCCUGCGGCUUAAUUUGACUCAACACGGGAAACCUCACCAGGCCCGGACACCGGAAGGAUUGACAGAUUGAGAGCUCUUUCUCGAUUCGGUGGGUGGUGGUGCAUGGCCGUUCUUAGUUGGUGGAGCGAUCUGUCUGGUUAAUUCCGAUAACGAACGAGAUUCUACCCUGCUAACUAGUCGGCGGAUCGACUCCCGAGACUGGGCCUGCCCUGGGGCUCGUAUUUCUCGGCUCGGUGGUUUGAGGGGCGUGGGCGUGGUGGUAUCGUAGGGGGUAGCGUAGCCGCGGGCAACCGUUGGUGAAACUGCUCCCGAAGGCUGCUCGUCUCGUCCCUCUCCCUGGGUUGGGAGGGGUCCCGUCGGUGUAGGUCCCAGCGAGGGGCGUCCGUCGCAACAUCUUCUUAGAGGGAUCGGCGGUUUUGCAGCCGCACGAGAAAGAGCAAUAACAGGUCUGUGAUGCCCUUAGAUGUUCUGGGCCGCACGCGCGCUACAAUGAAGUGAUCAGCGUGCUUUCCCCCUCCGAAAGGAGCGGGUAACCCUCUGAAACCCCUUCCCGAUUGGGAUUGGGGAUUGCAAGUGUUUCCCAUGAACGAGGAAUUCCCAGUAAGCGCGAGUCAAGAGCUCGCGUUGAUUACGUCCCUGCCCUUUGUACACACCGCCCGUCGCUACUACCGAUUGAAUGAUUCAGUGAGGCCGUCGGACUGGCACCCUCGGUAGCCUCCGGUACGCGAUUCUCUGCGCCCAUACCAGGGCUGGAGACCCUCGCUUCCGAUGGCACCCCGGGUUUGACGGAAAGACCGCCGAACUUGAUCAUUUAGAGGAAGUAAAAGUCGUAACAAGGUUUCCGUAGGUGA
RNAcentral lists this ribosomal RNA (2330 nucleotides) under Ancinus sp. RW05.010. Its description in RNAcentral is "bacterial SSU rRNA". It matches the Rfam family "Eukaryotic small subunit ribosomal RNA". Lineage: Eukaryota; Metazoa; Arthropoda; Malacostraca; Isopoda; Ancinidae. The record is from RNAcentral.